This 526-nucleotide long non-coding RNA is filed under the name Phoenix dactylifera (date palm). RNAcentral's name for it is "long non-coding RNA (PDAC_LNC009327)". The record is from RNAcentral. Lineage: Eukaryota; Viridiplantae; Streptophyta; Magnoliopsida; Arecales; Arecaceae.
AGGGGAUCAGAUUAGUGGAGGGUGUACUAGUGGUACUCCUAAGUUCUCUCAAAAUGUCAUCCCUUAGAGCUCUAAGUUGCUCACCACUAAGCCUAACCUCAAGGGGCUACUGAGAUGGUGGCACAGUGGAUGAGGGUCCAACAGUGGAUGAAGGGCCAACAGUGGAUGGGAAGGUGGAGGGAUCUACGGAGGUAUUCGGUUCAGGUUCAGAAGUGGAAGAGUGAGGAGCAGUGGGGUCAGAUGGUAUGGAGAAAAAAGUUUUUCUAACCCAGCUACCCUCCACCUUAUGGAAUCACAUUCAGUGGAGAGUCCCCUCGCCCAUAUGGUUAGUGUAGCGAAGUGAACGAGAGGGUUCCCCUUCAAGGAUAGGGACCUCAAACUCUCUAAAGAUCAAGGUAAAGAUCAUACCAUAGGGAAGACUCAGUCUAGGUUUGUCCAAGGGUUCACAAAUAUAACUGUAAAUGAGUUUGGAAAAGUUGAGAGGGACGUCAUGUAGGAUAUUGAACAUGAUAGCUAGGUCUCUCUC